Molecule: long non-coding RNA, 1013 nt
Filed under: Hordeum vulgare
Lineage: Eukaryota; Viridiplantae; Streptophyta; Magnoliopsida; Poales; Poaceae
Description: long non-coding RNA (HVUL_LNC003109)
Source: RNAcentral
UGAAUGGAACAAUGUGGUAAUUAUGGAAGGAGAAAAAAAGUUUGUCGAAACAUGUCGACAUGGGAUCUAGUUUUAAAGAUCUUGCCGCGACAAAGCUAACAGUGAAAACAGAUCAUCGAUUGAAUUAACGGUUUUAAAAAUAAAACAUUUUAAAUUUUAAGCAUUGAAAAGAAUCUUUACGUUUACUUUUAGGUGCAUGUGCAUGCGAGUCACCGCAUAAAAGCACCAGCAUACGGCGUCCCUGCAUAGUUGAAUCCUAUUUUAUUUGCCUAUGAAACCUUGUCGUAUGGUUGUAAGGGCUUCCAAAGCUUCAAUAAAAUUGUUAGCGUUAGGUAUCUUCAGUCUAGUUCGCUAUAAGGUCGGGCAAUUAUGCCCCCUGUAUACGACGCUGGCAACCGAGCAAUGGGAGAUCUAACAGCUACCAACAUCAAUUAUUGUCUCUUUUCGCAAAAAAAAAGUCAGUUAUUGUCUCAAAUGGAGAAACAAUAUAUAUCGGCUACCAACAUCAAUUAUUGUCUCUUUUCGCAAAAAAAAAAGUCAGUUAUUGUCUCAAAUGGAGAAACAAUAUAUAUCAACGAUUAAGAAACUCCAAUUUUCCUUGCAAAAAAAAAACGAUUAAGAAACUUGACAAAAUGAAACAAAAAUAUGUUCCUGGCGGGGCUCACCGGCGACUCUGAUGAAACAACAAUAUGCUCCUGGCGGGGCUCGAGUCUCGAAGGGAGAAAGAAAUACUUAUAUAUUAACGGCUAACAAAAAAGAACAAAAUGGUGCUCCCGGCGGGGCUCGAACCCGCGACCUUCGGCUCAUAAGACCAACGCUCUAACCAACUGAGCUACGGGGGCUUUUUUAUUAAGUCUAUUAUUAACUCUUAAUAACUACAUUUAAUCUGUCACGUUCACAUAUUACCUACAUUGAAACGUUUCCAGGAUCACGAUUUUCACAAGUCCUUUUCUGUUAUUUGUUUCAUUCCUAUGGUUGCCAUAUAUAGGAUCGUUUUAUGACGCUGUUUUUUU